Molecule: non-coding RNA, 1493 nt
Organism: Xyrichtys novacula (pearly razorfish)
Lineage: Eukaryota; Metazoa; Chordata; Actinopteri; Labriformes; Labridae
Source: the annotation of a GenBank genome assembly
GCGGGCUUCUUCUUCGUCCUCUUAAAAGUUGUAGAAGCGCAUGUGAUGCUAGCGCCACCAGCUGCUCUGCCUAUUUAAAUAUGUCGCGAACGCCGGCUGGCCACAGCAGCGCGCACCAUGUCGGAGCAGCAGCAGGAUGUGAGGAUAUCCAUUUUCAGCUCGGAAAAGUUUUGCAUCUUUCGUAAUAUUUAUUCUCUUUCAUGUUUGACCUCAGUGGGCGAGGCUUUUGAACCACGAAUAUUUAAGGGCGUAAACAUGUUAAUGACGAUCGAUUUCAGCCGCCGCAUUUAUCAAGACCCGAUCAUAUGUACGCUGGGAUUGGUCAGAUACGAACCCUUUCAUAAAUCUCACGUGUGUCCUAUCGUACGAUGAAUCCUGCGCUCAGAUCUGUGCUCAGUUCUACGCAGCGGCGUCGCCAGACAGAUUUCACUAGUGCCCCAGAAAAAAUUUCACCAAUAAAAAAAAAAAAUCCCUUCAGAGUUUUAAGUCUACAUAGCAUCGACUACAGCGCACAUACUAUUUAGUAUGGUAAUUAAGUGCUACUGUAUUCACUCCACAUAAACAAUGCGCACAUGGCUAAUUAAUAUGGUAAUUUAUUCACGUGUAGCGACUUCGGUUGAUAAUACUUCCGUGUCAACUCGAAGUCGAGAGAGAGAGAGAGAAACAGGCGAUGAGAAUAACUGCGCGAGGUAGGUAACGUUAGCCGACAACAACUUGUUAAAUACAUUAUUUUGAUUUUGAUUUGACUCGAACUGUAACUCCUAGAUGGAUAUCAGAAAGUUAUUCGCCCGCAGCAGGGAUAAAGCAGCGAGGAAUGAGAGAGGUAAGCGAAGUCCUAGCUAGCUAGGCAACAUAAGUCUGUCUUAAAUUAAUGCUAAGUUAGCUAAAGUUAUUCCUUGUAUCAAGACAACCAUAUUAAUUUGCUGUACGAGCUGUGGGGGGAAUUUCCAGUGAGUUUCAAAAGCAUGAAACAUAAUGAUGGUUAUGUUCUGCUCAGGACCUCUGCAUCAAUGAUGACUUUGAGUAAGCUUGUGUUAGUUGACAGAUAUAGCCUAUGGAUGGUGCAGUGGUUCUCAAAUGGCCUAUCUUCGAGAAGAAAAACAUUGAUAUAUAUAUAUAUAUCAAUGUUAUAUAUAUAUAUAUAUAUAUAUAUAUAUAUAUAUAUAUAUGUCUGUCCAAACAAAGUGGAACAACAGAGUGCUGGAAGAGGUGAGGGAGAGAUGAAAGUUGAUGAGCAAGAGCAGAGGUGAGUUGAGUCAUUUGUGAGUCAUUUGAUUUUGAAUAUCGAUGGCAGAAAUACAAAACCUCCCAUAUGAGGAAAAAACAAUUUUUUGGAGAACAAAAAACCUUCCAGUUUCUUACAGAAUGCUUUUUGGUCAGGUGACUUUUUUUGUCACAAGGAAGGGUGGGAUUUUUUAAUGAUAAAUAAGUGCUGAAUAUGUUUUUUCUUUCACGCGCACUUUGCGCGCUCUCAUGAUUUUUUUGUGCCCGAG